GGCAGCAGGGGAGGAGCCUCCCCAGGAACUGACUGGGUCCAGGGCUUGGAGCUGCUCUCUGCAGUUGUGUGGGCUGUAGAGUGGAGGGCCAUCCCUCCUCACCUCAGCCCCAGCUCCCAAGCCUCUGGAGUCAAAGCCUGGGCCAGCUCCACCACUGUCAGAGCCACCUUGGCCUGUUGUUUAGAGGGCCUUAGCCAGCUC
Molecule: long non-coding RNA, 201 nt
Filed under: Homo sapiens (human)
Lineage: Eukaryota; Metazoa; Chordata; Mammalia; Primates; Hominidae
Description: HSALNT0184961
Source: RNAcentral